GACAGAGGGUGCAAACGUUGUUCGGAAUUACGGGGCGUAAAGCGCGUGUAGGCGGCCAUGCAAGUCGGAUGUGAAAGCCCUCGGCUCAACCGGGGAAGUGCACCCGAAACUGCGUGGCUAGAGUCUCGGAGAGGAUCGUGGAAUUCUCGGUGUAGAGGUGAAAUUCGUAGAUAUCGAGAGGAACACCGGUGGCGAAGGCGGCGAUCUGGACGGUGACUGACGCUGAGACGCGAAAGCGUGGGGAGCAAACAGG
This 253-nucleotide ribosomal RNA is filed under the name uncultured bacterium. RNAcentral describes it as "partial 16S ribosomal RNA". It matches the Rfam family "Bacterial small subunit ribosomal RNA", at positions 524 to 776 of the family's 1533-position model. The record is from RNAcentral.